AACGAACGCUGGCGGCAUGCCUAACACAUGCAAGUCGAACGAGACCUUCGGGCCUAGUGGCGCACGCGUGCGUAACGCGAGGGAAACUGCCCUUAGGUUCGGAAUAACUCCCUGCAAGGGGUGCUAAUACCGGCUAAUGUCCUCCGUCCAAAGUCUUAUCGACUUUGGAUGGGCCCGCGUUGGAGUAGCCAGGUGGUAGGGUAAAAGCCUACCAAGGGCUUGAUUCAUAGCUGGUCUCUGAGGAUGAUCAGCCACACUGAGACUGAGAAACGGCCCAGACUCGUACACGAGGAAGCAGUGGGGGAUAUUGGACAAAGGGCGAGAGGCUGAACCAGCUAUGCCGGGUGAGUGAUGAAGGUCUGAGGGUUGUGAAGCUCUUUUAACCGGGAUGAUGAUGACAGUACCGGGAGAAUAAGCACCGGCUAACUCCGUG
RNAcentral lists this ribosomal RNA (433 nucleotides) under uncultured bacterium. Its description in RNAcentral is "partial 16S ribosomal RNA". It matches the Rfam family "Bacterial small subunit ribosomal RNA", at positions 29 to 507 of the family's 1533-position model. The record is from RNAcentral.